Molecule: small RNA, 1162 nt
Filed under: Histoplasma capsulatum
Lineage: Eukaryota; Fungi; Ascomycota; Eurotiomycetes; Onygenales; Ajellomycetaceae
Also listed under: 1 other name
Description: hypothetical RNA
Source: RNAcentral
CAAACUUCUUGGGUUAUAUCCUCGGGACCGCGGAGGAGCCAGUUGAUUCAUAUAUAGGUGGUGCGAGGGUCCACGGCCGCGAUCUAGGUUCCGAAGAUCGGGGGUUUGUUGGAUGUGGACGUGAGCGUGGACGUGUCCUACUCAGAAUACCCCCGUCGGUGAAACAGAAACGUUUCGAGGAUUCUCGUCGCGAAUAAAGUUUUCUGGAUCGGACGUUUGGAAGCGUUCUGGAAGCCUGGAAACAGGGGGGCGUUUCGGUGCAAUUCAGCCCAUUGCUGACGGUGUUGGCAACAAAGGAAAAGAAAGUUGGGAUUCAAUAUCGAGACCAUUAUUAUCGCUCGGGUCUACCACACACACACACACACUCACUCAUUCAUCACCCGCUCAGGUCAAGCGUUGGUGUUAACUCUCGAUGAGCAAGGUUGAGUUCAAACCAUGUUUGAACAGGAGGAGGAACAGGAGGAACAGAGUGAUCCUCGGGCGGAAUGAGUGGAGACUUGCUGACUAACACGUUCAACUUAAAUCCGUCCUGUUUUGUAUCGUGUUACAUACAUGAACUGAACGAUGAAACUGACGGUGUUGGAGGAUGGUUGGGCCGGUUGAAAUACAACCGGGAGAAUACUGCUGUGAGAGAAGAUUUUUGAACAGAUCGAAAAAAAGAAGGAAAAAAAAUACUCCUCUUCUCCGACCAAUGGCACGGCCAUCUACGCAGUAGCGCGGUUUGUCAGGCCGCCCCGUUUCAACCUCUCCAAACCUUCUCACCACCGGAUCCAGCCACUAGCUCAGGAACAGGUGUGCGGUGUGCCUGGCUAGCAGCGCCUCACCCAAGGUAGCGCUGGGUGAGCCGGGAGAACGCGCCAGGGGAAACAGGGGAAACGGCCAGUCACGACUCGCAGCGUCACAACACAGCACAACAAAGAAAAUAAAGGGAAAGGAAUUCUCCACGGGAGUCCAUACCAGUAUAAAGUACAACCUUUAGUUAUAUAACAAUGAAAGACGGUGAGCUGUUGCCGUUGCCGGUCUGCCACGUCUGCGACGGCUGCAACCGUGCCACGCCGUACCUCGACGGGAUAACACUGCGUAGAAUUUUUCUUUCAGAACGAAUGGCAAACACGAAAUAAAAUAAAAUAAAAUAAAGAAACACAGACUAAAACAGCCUAAA